GAUGAAGAACGUAUCGAAAUGCGAUAAGUAAUGUGAAUUGCAGAAUUCAGUGAAUCAUCGAAUCUUUGAACGCACAUUGCGCCCGCCAGUAUUCUGGCGGGCAUGCCUGUCCGAGCGUCAUUUCAACCCUCGCGCCCAUCUGGGCUGCGGUGUUGGGGACCGGCCUGCCCCCUAGGGGCGCGCCGCCCCCCAAAAUCAGUGGCGGUCUCGCUGCAGCCUCCCUUGCGUAGUAGCACACCUCGCACCGGAGCGCAGCGCGGCCACGCCGUAAAACCCCCGACCCCCAUGAGUUUGACCUCGGAUCAGGUAGGAAUACCCGCUGAACUUAAGCAUAUCAAUAAGCGGAGGA
Molecule: unclassified non-coding RNA, 349 nt
Filed under: soil metagenome
Description: partial contains 5.8S ribosomal RNA, internal transcribed spacer 2, and large subunit ribosomal RNA
Rfam family: 5.8S ribosomal RNA (bases 1-120)
Source: RNAcentral